Molecule: transfer RNA, 105 nt
Filed under: Schleiferiaceae bacterium
Lineage: Bacteria; Pseudomonadati; Bacteroidota; Flavobacteriia; Flavobacteriales; Schleiferiaceae
Description: tRNA-OTHER
Rfam family: tRNA
About the family: Transfer RNA (tRNA) molecules are approximately 80 nucleotides in length. Their secondary structure includes four short double-helical elements and three loops (D, anti-codon, and T loops).
Source: RNAcentral
GCCGGAGUGGCGGAAUUGGUAGACGCUAAGGUGAAACUCGCCAGAAGAGUGAAAGAGAUAACAACGCGCUAAACAGUUGUGCAGGUUCGAUCCCUGCCUCCGGCA